UACGUAGGGUGCAAGCGUUGUCCGGAAUUAUUGGGCGUAAAGAGCUCGUAGGCGGUCUGUCGCGUCGGCUGUGAAAUCCCAGGGCUCAACCCUGGGCCUGCAGUCGAUACGGGCAGACUAGAGUCCGGCAGGGGAGACUGGAAUUCCUGGUGUAGCGGUGAAAUGCGCAGAUAUCAGGAGGAACACCGGUGGCGAAGGCGGGUCUCUGGGCCAGAACUGACGCUGAGGAGCGAAAGCGUGGGGAGCGAACAGG
RNAcentral lists this ribosomal RNA (253 nucleotides) under uncultured bacterium. RNAcentral's name for it is "partial 16S ribosomal RNA". It matches the Rfam family "Bacterial small subunit ribosomal RNA", at positions 524 to 776 of the family's 1533-position model. The record is from RNAcentral.